This 455-nucleotide ribosomal RNA is filed under the name Panulirus argus (Caribbean spiny lobster). RNAcentral describes it as "partial 16S ribosomal RNA". It matches the Rfam family "Bacterial large subunit ribosomal RNA", at positions 1911 to 2562 of the family's 2925-position model. Lineage: Eukaryota; Metazoa; Arthropoda; Malacostraca; Decapoda; Palinuridae. The record is from RNAcentral.
GUGAUAAUUGAAUUUAACGGCCGCGGUAGCAUGACCGUGCUAAGGUAGCAUAAUCAUUUGUCCUUUAAUUGAGGACUGGUAUAAACGGCUGCACAAGAAAUUGUCUGUCUCUACUAUAAAAUUUGAAAUUCACAUUUAAGUGAAAAGGCUUAAAUGGAAUAGGGGGACGAUAAGACCCUAUAAAUCUUUACAAUUAGGGCUUUAGUUAUUAGAAAGUAGUUAUGGAUCUAGAUCUAAGGUCUAAAUUGUUUUGUUGGGGCGACAGAAGUAUAAUAAGUAACUGCUUUGGUUUUCAUAUUAAUUGUUUUUAUUAUGGUUAGUUUAAAAGAUCCUCUUUUGGAGAUCACAGACUAAGUUACUUUAGGGAUAACAGCGUAAUCUUUCUUGAGAGUUCAUAUCGAAAGAAGGGUUUGCGACCUCGAUGUUGAAUUAAAGAACCUUUAUGGUGUAGCCGC